UGUGCGCCUUGUUUCCGAUUCAAAAUUCCAUACGUUUUCAAAACCCUCACUCUCACAUAUUAGCUGCUCAUCUUCAUCGUUACCGUUCUGUGUUCGACGGCGUUCUACACUUUCGGAAUUUCAUGGUUUCUAUUCGCAAUGUCGUUGUGUUUAGUUUUUGCUAUCUUGUUUAGAGUCGGGGGUCUCUCUGGAAACAACAUCUCUAUCCUAAGGGAUGGAGGAAAGGUGUGACUACAUCUCAACUUCCCACACCCUACAAAUAGCUUGACUAUGAGUGGGAUUUACCGAGUAUGGUUGUUAUUGUUGUUAUUUUGUUUUCCUCUCAUUUUUUUUCAUUUGUUUUGAUUCGUAUAUAGUUUGUAUCUAAUAUAUCUUAAUGUAAUUUCAGCCUUGAAACAAUAGACCGUACGUUCUCACAAUAUAACAAUGUAAUUUUCUAUUUCAUUUAGUCAUUGGUUGUUGGAAUGUAAUUCUACUAUUUAUU
Molecule: long non-coding RNA, 484 nt
Filed under: Helianthus annuus (common sunflower)
Lineage: Eukaryota; Viridiplantae; Streptophyta; Magnoliopsida; Asterales; Asteraceae
Description: hypothetical non coding rna
Source: RNAcentral